Bactrocera dorsalis (oriental fruit fly) is the source of this 2665-nucleotide long non-coding RNA. RefSeq lists it as uncharacterized. The record is from RefSeq and is a predicted model, not a curated record. The transcript has 4 exons. Lineage: Eukaryota; Metazoa; Arthropoda; Insecta; Diptera; Tephritidae.
AACACCUAAAAAACAGAGAAAAGUUAAAGUAAAAAGACUGCAAAAGUUUAAAAACGAAUGGAAAAGUAAAUUUCCAUGGCUUGAAAAAGAUGAAGAUCAGUUUAAAGCAAAAUGUUCUAUCUAUGCAAUAACUUUUUCAAUUGAUAAAAGUGGCAUAGGUCAAAUAAAACAGCAUAGUGAAUCUAACACGCACGCUAGUAAAUUAAAAAUUACUCAACAAUCUUCAAUCUUAAAUAAUUUUCUACAAUUGGGUACUGCUGAAUCAAACGAAUCUAAACAAACAACGGCUGCUGAGUUAGCCUUAGUUUACCAUACAGUAAAGCACAACCUUUCAUAUAACAGUGCAGAUUGCGGUGCCAAACUUAAUAAAUUACUUUAUGCCGAAUCUAAAAACGAUAAAACCAUUCAAUUGGGUCGAACGAAACAAGCAGCAGUUGUCGAAAAUGUUCUGGGCCAAUGUGCAUUGAAACAAGCUCUGACACAUAUAAAAAAUAAAAGUGAAUUAACGUUACCGAAAAAAUGUAAAACUAUUCCCUCUUGUUAUUCAGUACUUCGAUACAAAAGCAGGAAUCCAGCAAAAGCUUUUAGACUUUUAUGAAAAUCCAGAUGAAUCAGCAGAUGGAAUGUUCACAGCAGUAAAAGAUUCGUUAACGCGUAAUAAUCUAUCGCUUGAUAAAAUAAUUGCGCUUAGUGCCGACAAUGUAAAUGCUAAUUUUGGAAAAAACCAUUCGCUUUUCACAAACAUUGAGAAAAUAGUGCCACAUUUAAUAAAAUGCAAUUGCCAUGCACACAUUGUUCACAACAAUGUUAAAUACGGAAUGAACUUUUUAAAUUGCGAUGUCGAAAACAUCAUCCUUAAAAUAUAUAGCCACUUCUCUGUUUCUGCCUCUAGAAGAGAGGAGCUUAAAAAAUUCGUGGCAGAAGUGAAUGGGCAAUGGCAUGAGAUUAAGCGUCACAUAGGAACAAGAUGGCUCUCUUUGUUGCCUGCAGUCGAUCAUAUAUUAAUGAAUUGGACUCCCAUAACGAAUUACUUUCGCAAACUGGAUGAUAAAUGCCCAACACAAAUUCGUCAACUUUUAAAGCUUGAAGAAGAUAUUUUAAAUAUACAAGUAAGUUUUUUUAAAUAUGGUCAGCCACGUUUUGAAUGUUUUCGACAAAACAAUUAAAAAACUGGAAAGAAAUUACACAACAGUGCUUGAUUUGUAUGGAGCAAUGGAAAAAUUGAAGUUUGAGCUCAAUAAAGGAAGCAAGAUAAAUAUUUUGGUUACGAAACCAAUAAAUUAUUAAAAUAUAUUAGAAGCGAAAAUCCUCUUCUUCACAAAGAAACAGAGAACAAUUUUGUGUUAUUUUUAGAGCAAUGUCUCGCAUAUCUUAAAAAGAGGUUUGAUUUUAACGAGGAAAAUUGGUUGUACCACAUAAAAAAUUUGAAUUUUGAAAAAGAACUCAAAUUUGAAGAUGUAGAAAAAAUUAUCGAUAUUUUAUUUUUAAAAACUAAACUUAACAUAGAUAUGGAUGUACAGUAUUCUGAAAUAAUCAGCGUAAAUGAAAUUUAUUCAAAAAUCAAAAACUGUGAAAAAUUUAAAAAUCUUUACAUAGUUGAGAAAUGGCAACAAAUUUUAAAUUCAGACUCAGAAGAGAUUUUUUUAAAUUUAAAAAUUGUUUCGCUUUUGCUUUCCAUUCCAGCAUCCUCCGCAGUUUUUUUAAAGAAUAUUUUCAAUUGCUAACACAAAAUGGAGGGAUGAAAGAAAUAGAUCUCAUACAGACUUAAUAAAAAAUGAACUGAUUAUAACUUGUAAUUUAACAUUUGCCUGUAAUGAAGCCUUAAGCACAUUUUUAAAAGACUCGAAUUUGUUAAAAGCUGCUGAAAGCAAUACAAAAUAUAAUUAAUAAUAAUAUGUAUUGAUAAAUACACUAGUAGCCAAUAAAAUAGACUCGCGACUUAUUCAUAAGAUUUGACUAUUUUUCUUUUGUUUGUUAAGGGUAUAUUAGGCAGGUUCUGGAAUUCACUUCAGAGUGAAUAUCAAACAAAAUUCGUUUUCAAUCCGGCAUUUGGUGUUCUGUGUUUCACUUUCACAAUUUCAAUUCCACACAUUUUCUAAAAUGAAUUCCGAGUGAAUACGCAUGUUCUGGAAAACGAAUUCACAAGAAAAAAUUCGGUUAGCAUUCACAUCAGUUUCAAUUUGCGGAUUUGGUGUAUAAAAGAAAUGGGCAAACACAAGAAUGCAACCCAAGAAGCAAUCCUUCUUCAAUUUAUGGAGAAGCACAGCAAUAUCGCCCGAGGAUUUGUCAAAGGCGACAAAAUAAAAGUAGACGCGCUAUGGAGAGAUUUAGUGGCAGAUUUACAUAAAAAUGGUCCCCCCCAAAAAGAUGUAUCUGGCUGGAAAAAGGUUUGGAUGGACUGGAAGGCCUUUAUCAGAAAGAAAGUGGCGCAUAAUACUUCCGAGGCCAGAGCAACCGGGGGAGGACCGUUCAAUAAGCAUGUCUUUACUCCGACAGAAGACGUGAUUGCCCAAUUAUGCGGCAUAUAUACAGUGGUAGAAGGCGUGCCUAAUACGCAGAGCUUUGGUGUUCCAUCAGAGAGGAAUGACUCAGCUUCUGACACUCCCGAUGGUGAAGAGCCUCUUCCCUCCACUAGCAAUGUCGCCGCUGCGGGGCGGUCUCGCAG